This 468-nucleotide ribosomal RNA is filed under the name uncultured bacterium. Its description in RNAcentral is "partial 16S ribosomal RNA". It matches the Rfam family "Bacterial small subunit ribosomal RNA", at positions 28 to 507 of the family's 1533-position model. The record is from RNAcentral.
GACGAACGCUGGCGGCGUGCUUAACACAUGCAAGUCGAACGGAAAGGCCCUUCUUUUGUUGGUUGCUCGGCUAGCGAACGGGUAAGUCACACGUAACUUACCUUCCCUUUCCUUUGAGCUACCUUCAACAGACUCUGGCUCCUACCAGAUAUGCUCUCCUGCUGCAUGGUGGGGGUUGGCUACUUUGGGGGUUUGGGGAUUCACUCGCGGCUUAUCAGCUUGUUGGUGGGGUAGUGGCUUACCAAGGCUUUGGCGGGUAGCCGGCCGGAGCGGGGGACCGGCAAAAUGGGGACUGAGAUACGGCCAAGACUCCUACGGGAGGAAGAAGGGGGGAAUAUUGCACAAGGGGCGGAAGCUGGAUGAAGAAACGCGGCGUGCGGGAUGACGGCUUUCGGGUGGUAAACCGUUUCAGCAGGUGACGAAGUGGGAGUGACGGUAACGGGAAAAGAAGCACCGGCUAACUACGUG